Molecule: ribosomal RNA, 253 nt
Filed under: uncultured bacterium
Lineage: Bacteria
Description: partial 16S ribosomal RNA
Rfam family: Bacterial small subunit ribosomal RNA
Source: RNAcentral
GACAGAGGGGGCAAGCGUUGCUCGGAAUCACUGGGCGUAAAGGGCGCGUAGGCGGGAUGGCAAGUCAGUCGUGAAAUCUCUCGGCUCAACCGAGAAACGUCGGCUGAUACUGCCGUUCUUGAGGGAUGCAGAGGAGACUGGAAUUCCCGGUGUAGCGGUGAAAUGUGUAGAGAUCGGGAGGAACACCGGUGGCGAAGGCGGGUCACUGGACCCGAUCUGACACUGAUGUGCGAAAGCUAGGGUAGCAAACGGG